Molecule: long non-coding RNA, 313 nt
Filed under: Nicotiana tabacum (common tobacco)
Lineage: Eukaryota; Viridiplantae; Streptophyta; Magnoliopsida; Solanales; Solanaceae
Description: long non-coding RNA (NTAB_LNC000693)
Source: RNAcentral
UCAUAGUGGAAGCCCUCCAAGUACUCCUACACCUACACCUAGUACCCCCAGUACACCAUCCACCCCCUCCACACCUACUAUUGUCACCCCGCCUACACCUCCUACCAUUGACCCUGGCACUCCAAGCACUCCAGGGGGUGGUUACUAUGGUGGAAGUCCUCCAAGUAUUCCUACACCUAGUACCCCUAGUAUUACACCCACUACCCCUUCUACACCUAUCAUUGAAACACCACCAACUACUCCUGUCGUUGAAACACCACCAACUACUCCUACUAUUGAUCCAGGCACUCCAAGUGCUCCAGGAGUCUUUCCA